UAUUUUUUCUUCUGUCACCAUCACACUGAGAAGAAUCUUCAGAUCUUUAAGCUAUUUUUGUCCACUAUUUUAUUUCAUCAUUUUUUUUUGAGUUUACACUGAUAUCAUUUCCAUGAUGUCAGGUAAGGAAAUAACAUGGAGUUGUAAAAGUAUUUGAACAAUGCCAGACUUGAAAGUAGACUAGAUAUAGAAUCCAGGUCAGUUUCUGGCCUUGAUUCCCAACCACUGUCUUCUCAGCACAGAAACCACACCAAUUAUUUUCUUUUUAUUCCUAGUUCAUAUAAUACUAUGUUCCAUUUUUUUUGUAGAAAAUCAAUCUCAUUUGCUAAAAUAAUAUAAGUAAUUUUCCAUGAUUGCUAAUUUUGCAUAUAUAAAUUCCAAACCAGAAAUUUAGCUAUGAUCAAAAAAAAAAAAAAAGAAGAAGAAAGUAAAAUAAAGAAAAAAAGAAAGGAGAGAAAGAAAAAAACCAAAACCACCAAAAAUAAGAGUUAAAUAUGUCAUUGUAGAAGUGCAUAUAAAGUUCUGAGGGGCAGACGAUACAGAUCAGUGGCAGAAGACUUACCUAACAUUGCAACUAUUAAAAAAAAUUCAUUAGAUUAUAGAAAACCUUGAAAAUAAUGAUCAGUGUUUAUAUUUGUUUAUUUAGUAACAUAUGCUAAUACUACAAAAUGUUGCAUACUCCUGUGACAUAAAUCACAUGUUUCUUAGACUCAGCCCUUGUUGGGUUUCUUCUGCCUUUUAUCAUCCUUCUUUUCAUAAAUAACCCCCUUUUACUUCCACAGUCCUUAAAUCUAGAUCCCAUAUCGUAGAGAAGCAUAUGAUAGCCGGCUUUCUGAAUGUCUCUUUACUUUUAAUUUUUAUUAUUUAACUUUUACAUCUACUUAUAAAAUCUAUUUUAGUCACUUUUCCCUGCAGUCUUUUUCCCUUUUCCCCCUAGAACCCUUCUCCUUAGCAAGGCCUUCUUGUUUCACGUGUUUUUUUAAUGUGUGUGGCUACAAUAUCAACUCUGCAUAUUGCUUUAGAAAGUUCAAGUGCCUCAAUGAAUAUUAAUGUACUUGUUCUUAUUUUUUCUGAUGAGUUCUUUUUAGAAUAAAGUGACAUUUUGGAAGAUCUCCGACUUGAAUGUCACAACACCCAAAACGAGCAAAUCUCUAAAGGUUUGACAAAUAGGCAGUGCUAAUCAAUCAGAGUCAGCUUUACAGUGAAAUGAGCUGGCGAGCAGUCCUUGUCAGCACUGUACUCUAGGAAGAACACAGGUAUCUCCAGAGUUGGCACAAAUAAUGUUAUUUCUUAACCUCUCUUUUAUCACCAUUUCUGUACAGUGGGAAAUAUUUGUUGGGAUAACUUUACAUAAACCACACACACAUUUUAAUACCUAUGCUAUUUAAAUCUUUCUGUGGAAUUGUGGCAAAAGGAAGAUUUCCAGAUAUUUUGUUUACUACAGAUUUGUUUUGCUACAAAUGAACCACCUAAUACUUACAAGCCUAAAACAACUAGAACAUUCAUUUCAUUCAAGAAUUUAUGAUUUGCAUAGAGCUAAUGCCACUAGUUUAUUUGUGCUUCAUGUAGCACUGGCUGAGUGGACCAACAUAGAUGGAUGGAGCUUCUUCUAAUAGUUCCCCCACAUGCCAGAGAAUACAUAGUGCCCUAGGCCAGAGGCUCAGCUGGCCUACUCUGUGGGCAGUUGAGACUAACAACAGUAUCUGAUCCUAAAUAUGAGGUUUUUCAUGAGAUAAGAGGUAAAUGGUACUUGCUGGCAAAACUGCAACAAAUCAACCCGCCAAGCAAUCAAACAACAACAAAACCACCCAAUUCUCUGUAUCACUUCUUUGUAGUUCUAUAGAUGAAAGCAAUACCAGAGCUACCCAUCUAUGAGUUAGAGAGACUCUGCUUCUCAAAAGAAAGAGUGUAAAGGAAUAUUGACCAUCUUUAUUCUACCAGGAUGCUAUUAUUUUAUGUCUGAAUAAGAUAUUAAAAAUAAGAAAAUUAUGGGAAGUACCUAUCCUUUAUUCAAUGAUUUAGCUAUUAUUUAUCAAAUAUCUUACCAGACAGGAAGCUACAAACUAUACUGCUAAAUUCAUUUUGUCAUUUAAUCUUUUAAUAUUUCUAUUCUGCAAAUUUACUCAGUGACUAUUUAAUAUUUUUCAAAAGGAUAUGUUUCUAAAUGUAAGGUUUUAAAGUACCAUGACUUAAUAUCUAUAAUUGAUCUUAUUAUAAAUGUUAUUAUAAGUUGAUUCAUUUGUUAAGAUCAUUGGGACAGAAAGUGAUCCCUAAAAUUCAUGAUUC
RNAcentral lists this long non-coding RNA (2286 nucleotides) under Mus musculus (house mouse). RNAcentral's name for it is "long non-coding RNA chr6:45778036-45780322". The record is from RNAcentral. Lineage: Eukaryota; Metazoa; Chordata; Mammalia; Rodentia; Muridae.